UACGUAGGGACCAAGCGUUGUCCGGAAUCAUUGGGCGUAAAGAGCGUGUAGGCGGCUUGUUAAGUCUUGCGUGAAAUCUCGGGGCUCAACCCCGAGCGGUCGUGAGAAACUGGCAGGCUAGAGUGCGGGAGAGGAGAGUGGAAUUCCUGGUGUAGCGGUGAAAUGCGCAGAUAUCAGGAAGAACACCCGUGGCGAAGGCGGCUCUCUGGAACGCAACUGACGCUGAGGCGCGAAAGCGUGGGGAGCAAACAGG
RNAcentral lists this ribosomal RNA (253 nucleotides) under uncultured bacterium. RNAcentral describes it as "partial 16S ribosomal RNA". It matches the Rfam family "Bacterial small subunit ribosomal RNA", at positions 524 to 776 of the family's 1533-position model. The record is from RNAcentral.